UACGAAGGGGGCGAGCGUUGGUCGGAAUCACUGGGCGUAAAGGGUGCGUAGGCGGGUCUUUAAGUCAGGGGUGAAAUCCUGGAGCUCAACUCCAGAACUGCCUUUGAUACUGAAGAUCUUGAGUUCGGGAGAGGUGAGUGGAACUGCGAGUGUAGAGGUGAAAUUCGUAGAUAUUCGCAAGAACACCAGUGGCGAAGGCGGCUCACUGGCCCGGUACUGACGCUGAGGCACGAAAGCGUGGGGAGCAAACAGG
RNAcentral lists this ribosomal RNA (253 nucleotides) under uncultured bacterium. RNAcentral's name for it is "partial 16S ribosomal RNA". It matches the Rfam family "Bacterial small subunit ribosomal RNA", at positions 524 to 776 of the family's 1533-position model. The record is from RNAcentral.